GGGCGCUUAGCUCAGCUGGAAGAGUAUCUCGUUUACACCGAGAGGGUCGGGAGUUCGAACCUCUCAGCGCCCACCA
This 76-nucleotide transfer RNA is filed under the name Alphaproteobacteria bacterium. RNAcentral describes it as "tRNA-Val". It matches the Rfam family "tRNA". Rfam says of the family: Transfer RNA (tRNA) molecules are approximately 80 nucleotides in length. Their secondary structure includes four short double-helical elements and three loops (D, anti-codon, and T loops). Lineage: Bacteria; Pseudomonadati; Pseudomonadota; Alphaproteobacteria. The record is from RNAcentral.